CACAGCAGGCUUACUUGAGGGCAGCUAUAUGCACUAUUUUUUAAGCCAUUUGAUAAUAGAAUGCCUAAAAAUGAUACACCAUUU
Molecule: long non-coding RNA, 84 nt
Organism: Etheostoma cragini (Arkansas darter)
Lineage: Eukaryota; Metazoa; Chordata; Actinopteri; Perciformes; Percidae
Exons: 4
Source: RefSeq, a predicted model, not a curated record